This 408-nucleotide ribosomal RNA is filed under the name Triticum aestivum (bread wheat). Its description in RNAcentral is "partial small subunit ribosomal RNA". Lineage: Eukaryota; Viridiplantae; Streptophyta; Magnoliopsida; Poales; Poaceae. The record is from RNAcentral.
CCUUCCGGCGAGGGCAAGCAGCUGACGAGCCAGCUCCUGGACAAGUACAGCGGCUACCUGAGAAGCCUCUGGAGGGAGCUCUCCGGGAAGAAGAAGAAGAGCGGCAGGCUGCCGAGGGAGGCGCGCCAGAGGCUCCUGCACUGGUGGCAUCUGCACCACGGAUGGCCCUACCCAUCGGAACCGGAGAAGCUGGCGUUGGCGGAGUCGACGGGGCUCGACACGAGGCAGAUCAACAACUGGUUCAUCAACCAGAGGAAGCGGCACUGGAGGCCGGCGCCGCCGGCGAUGGGUAGCAGGUUGCAGCACAUCGACGCCGGUGCUUCCAGCAGCAGCUCUCCUGCCGUCCUUGGGAUGGAAGGCCAGCAAUUCACCGGACGGAGUGGGUAUCCCGACGGUGGUCCGUUUUGA